CACUGAUGUAUUACUUUAACUUCAAGCUUUCUAACUUUCCUUUUCCUAAAGGUGGAUUAUUUGCCCUACUCUUUAAAUGAUCAAUCAUUAUUCAAGAUCUUUCUACUCAAAAGUGCAAUGAAAAGCUGCUGGCUUAUCUUAAGGUUAAGUGGAUUCGAAUUUAGAAGAAAGAAGGAAAAGAAAAAUGAGGUUCAAGCAGACAAGUGUAUAUAUGUGGGGAAAAAACAGAUGGAAUUAAUUAUGGUACAAGCAGUGAAAGCCAAAGGAUAAGCAAUAGCAAGUACAGGGAAAUUCUCCAGGGGCAAGAUGAAAAGGGAAUGGUGGGAAAGAGUAGACAGUGGCAGGGAAGCAGAACUGGGCAAAGACUCCUAUAUCAGUUGCCAAAAAAAUACUUCUGCCCAGGAGAACUUGAUGACUGCUACUGAAAGGGAAAAUCAAAAGCUGGUUCUUUGAAAAGAUCAACAAAAUGGACAAACCUUUACCUAGGCUGACCAA
Long non-coding RNA from Herpailurus yagouaroundi (jaguarundi), 495 nucleotides. RefSeq lists it as uncharacterized. Lineage: Eukaryota; Metazoa; Chordata; Mammalia; Carnivora; Felidae. The transcript has 2 exons. The record is from RefSeq and is a predicted model, not a curated record.